UACGAAGGGGGCUAGCGUUGCUCGGAAUUACUGGGCGUAAAGCGCGUGUAGGCGGCAGGGCAUGUCGGAUGUGAAAUCCCGUGGCUCAACCACGGAAGUGCACCCGAAACUGCCCAGCUUGAGUCUCGGAGAGGAAGGCGGAAUGCUUGGUGUAGAGGUGAAAUUCGUAGAUAUCAAGCGGAACACCGGUGGCGAAGGCGGCCUUCUGGACGAUGACUGACGCUGAGACGCGAAAGCGUGGGGAGCAAACAGG
Molecule: ribosomal RNA, 253 nt
Filed under: uncultured bacterium
Lineage: Bacteria
Description: partial 16S ribosomal RNA
Rfam family: Bacterial small subunit ribosomal RNA
Source: RNAcentral